AAGACCUUGCGCUUUGGGAGCGGCCGAUGUCUGAUUAGCUAGUUGGUGGGGUAAAGGCCUACCAAGGCGACGAUCAGUAGUUGGUCUGAGAGGACGACCAGCCACACUGGGCCUGAGACACGGCCCAGACUCCUACGGGAGGCAGCAGUGGGGAAUUUUGGACAAUGGGCGCAAGCCUGAUCCAGCAAUGCCGCGUGAGUGAAGAAGGCCUUCGGGUUGUAAAGCUCUUUCAGUCGAGAAGAAAAAGCUGCAGUGAAUAACUGUAGUUCAUGACGGUAUCGACAGAAGAAGCACCGGCUAACUACGUGCCAGCAGCCGCGGUAAUACGUAGGGUGCGAGCGUUAAUCGGAAUUACUGGGCGUAAAGGGUGCGCAGGCGGCUUUGUAAGUCAGAUGUGAAAUCCCCGGGCUUAACCUGGGAAUU
This 423-nucleotide ribosomal RNA is filed under the name uncultured bacterium. RNAcentral describes it as "bacterial SSU rRNA". It matches the Rfam family "Bacterial small subunit ribosomal RNA", at positions 207 to 622 of the family's 1533-position model. The record is from RNAcentral.